RNAcentral lists this ribosomal RNA (388 nucleotides) under uncultured bacterium. RNAcentral describes it as "bacterial SSU rRNA". It matches the Rfam family "Bacterial small subunit ribosomal RNA", at positions 28 to 417 of the family's 1533-position model. The record is from RNAcentral.
GACGAACGCUGGCGGCGUGCUUAACACAUGCAAGUCGAGCGGUAAGGCCCUUUCGGGGGUACACGAGCGGCGAACGGGUGAGUAACACGUGGGUGACCUGCCCUCAGCUCUGGGAUAAGCCUGGGAAACCGGGUCUAAUACCGGAUAUGACUCCAUGACGCAUGUUGUGGGGUGGAAAGCCUUGUGCGGCUGAGGAUGGGCCCGCGGCCUAUCAGCUUGUUGGUGGGGUGAUGGCCUACCAAGGCGACGGCGGGUAGCCGGCCUGAGAGGGCGACCGGCCACACUGGGACUGAGACACGGCCCAGACUCCUACGGGAGGCAGCAGUGGGGAAUCUUGCGCAAUGGGCGAAAGCCUGACGCAGCGACGCCGCGUGAGGGAUGACGGCCU